AUCUCAAAAAAACAAACAAACAAAAAAAAACAGCCCCGGAGCCCCGCCCAGCGUUUUGAAGCGAAAACCGGCUGUGGCAGCCUCCGAGUGGCACCGGGCGUGGGGCAGUUCCCACGCGGGACCGUGCAGCGAGCCGCGCGGGCGGGGCCAGAGCAGAAGCGGCAGUGGCCGCGGUCCAUGGGGCCCAGCUGAGCCGGGCACGUUCUCCAUGCCGCUGAACCCGCUGAAGGACAAGGAGCCCCUCAUCGAGCGCUUCGUCAAGCCUGGCAGUGAUGGUGAAAGCACAGGAAACUGCCCCCUUUCUCAGAGGCUCAAAGGAGUUGUAGUGAGUGUCACCGCCGUUGCCCUGGAAAGAAAGCCUGCAGACCUGCAGAACUUGGCUCCUUGGACCCAGCCACCAUUUAUAACUUUCAACAACGAUGUUAAAAGGGAUGUAAAUAAAAUUGAGGAAUUUCUUGAAGAAGUCUUAUGCCCUCCCAAGUACUUAAAGCUUUCACCAAAACACCCAGAGUCAAAAUACUGCUGGAAUGGACAUCUUUGCCUAAUUCUCUACAUGUAUCAAGAAUUCGAGGCCAGGGGCUAAUGAAGCACUGGAGAGGGGUCUCUUGAAAACAAUGCAGAAACUGGAUGAAUAUCUGAAUUCUGCACUCCCUGAUGAAAUUGAUGAAAAGAGUAUGGAGGACAUUAAGUUUUCUACAUGUAACUUUCUGGAUGGCAAUGAAAUGACAUUAGCUGAUUGCAACCUAUUGCCCAAAGUGCAUUAUUGUCAAGAUGGUGAGCCAAAAAUAUCACAACUGAAUGACUGGCAUCUGGAGAUACUUAACUAAUUCGUAUAGUAGGGAUGAGUUCACCAAUACCUGUCUCACUGAUAAGGAGGUUGAAAUAGCACAUAGUGAUGUAGCCAAAAGACUCACCAAAUAAAAUAGCUCCUAUGACAGAGAUAUCUUCAUGUCUUCCCCUAAGAAUAUGCUUUUCCUAACUGACCGCUCCUCUUCCUAGAGUAGAAAUUAUAUUUUGCAUGAACGUGCAGUUAUCCAAGAUUAGGGUCAAGCAUAGACAAGGUAUAGUAGUUAUCUUAAAAUAUACACUCCUAAGCAGUAUUAUUUUGAAAUCCUUUUGCCUUGCCUACCUCCCCUACCCAUAUCUCCCUCUCCUCUAAUUUGGAGACACUCUGUCACAAACUUUUCACGUUAGAGGUAGUUUGCCAUCUCUUGGGAGCCCUAAGCAUUGUGUCCAUUCACUGUGCACCCAUGGCAGAACUUCGGAGGUGCAAUGUUUAACUGUCAAAAUAGUAGCCACGACUUCAUCAGGUAGCCCCAAACUGGUGCAUAAUAUGUAGUACAAGGAAUAUCUAUGUAUUUUUUAAUUUUGUAAUAUUUAGUAAGAGUAUAUGAGAGGAUUGCUACUGUAUCAGAAAUAUUCUGUUUCCAUUUAGUCUAUCCUCUAUAUGUACUAAAGAAUAUUGCCACCAGAGAACAGAGAGCCUUGUACAGAAAGACACUACAGAUUUUGCUAUUUUGCUUUGUAGGUAGAUUUUUACUUUUGCCUAAAAGCAUUUAUCCUUCAUACUAAUUGAAACAUCUGACACUAUGUAGAAGCUAAAAGUUUAGAGGGAGAGAUGGUUUUCUCUCAAGAUCUUCUGCAAGCAUUUUAUCCUUUUAUAGAAACUGAUAGGCACCUAAGAUUCUGUAUUAAUGUGUUUGUUACAUAUAUUUUGCCCAGUGCCAUUCAUUUGGAACAUUAUUGCUUUUUUCUUUUAUUUAAAAAAAAAAACUCCUUUUUUAGGUAAGCAGAGAGCUUACUACUUGUAGAUCUUUUGAGCAACACUACAUAAAUUGAUACUUAGUUGAUUUAUCUAUAUCAGUACAAUGUUUAGUAAUGUAAAAAUUAACACAGAAAUUAACCUAAGGAAUGAAAGGUGCAUUUGUCAAAAUAGCAAGUAAAUUUUUGUUUCUAAAGCAUAUUUAAUGUAGAUGGUCUAAAGAAUGCAUUAUCCAUCCUAUAGUGAAACAAAAUAAAACACAGAUUACCAAUUUUCUUAUUUCACCUCAUUUACCUUACAUAGAGGAUUGUUCACUCCUUUUGGACUAAAUUAUAGUUGUUAUGGUGAAUGAGUAUUUACUGCAGUUUUGCCUGGUGUCAAUCAUCACACUUCCUUGACUUAAAUUUUUUUACAGUCAUGUUGAGGAAUAGCACUUGCAUGUGUUUUUGCUUUGUUUUGUUUUUUCUUUUUAAAUUGAAGUCCUAAAUAAGAAUUCUUUGUGCUCUAACAAGAGAGGAUGAACUUGGUGAAAAUAAAAAUUUGUUAUGCAUUUACUCUUUAAAAAAAAAAACAACAGACUUUCUGAGUACAAAUCUGAAGACUGUGCUUGUGACUAUAAUACAUUUUUGUAAUUUUUUAUACCCAACUUGUGUAGAAAGUGCUAUUUGUCAUGAGCUAUUUUUUGAAAUUUUAAGCAUAUUGCUUUAAAACGGCAGUGGUUUUCCCCUUUGAUAUGUUAAUACUUAGUAAGCACUGGCUUUAUAAUAGCAGCCUGACUUUUAUAAGCAUACUGCUUUUUUAACCUAUCAGUAAAUUAGCUUAGUAUUGAAAGAUAAAAAAAGCUCCAUAUUGUAUCCAUUUGGCUCAGGGAAAUUCCGUUGCCUUAUCUUUCUUAGAACUCCUAUUGCUGAUCAAAAAUGUGAGUACUUUUCUGUUAAUUAAAUAUUGGAUGAUGAUUUAUCUGGUUCCAGGAAGAUGCACUAUCCAUUUAUCUACUGCAAAAUUAUAUUACAGUAACUUCAGUGGGUGAAAGUGUCCCAUCUGUACCAGUACACAGGCAAGUAUCAUCACUAUUCAUCUACCUUUUAAAUAGUGGCAGCUUGGCAUUCAGGUGAUUCAGGUUGAACCUUGCCUUAUAGCUUAAAGUAUGAAAAAGAUUUGAGAGAAGGGGUAUCUGUUCUUUCUAGUGAAUGGUGGAUUAAGUAGUACAGGGUAGAGGGCUGGAGGGCUAACCGAGGAAAGAGCUCCAUUCUUAAAAUAGAGUGAUGACAAACCCAUUCUGAAAUUCAAAGUAUUUUCACUUUGGAUAUUUAUUCUCUUGAUUGUUUUUUAUUUAUCCAGUGAUUACACCUGGUUCUCUCUGGAUGUCCAAAAGACUUUGACAAAGACAGAAUUACUUGUCUCUGUAUAAAGACAGAUUUUAUUAUUACUUUAUCAGAGAAGUUAGUCAAAUGAAAUUGAGAUUGGCAGGUGGACAAAAGCUAGUAGAAAGGAUGAUCCCACAACAUUCUUUUACCUCAUUGUAUGUUUGUGGAAAGAUUAUAGCUUAAAAUAUUGAAAGAUUUGGGACAUAAAAGUUUUCAUGAAAAUAAGCACCACAUGUACUCACCAGCAAAUUGGUAUUAACUGAUCAACA
Non-coding RNA from Microcebus murinus (gray mouse lemur), 3398 nucleotides. Lineage: Eukaryota; Metazoa; Chordata; Mammalia; Primates; Cheirogaleidae. The record is from RefSeq and is a predicted model, not a curated record.